This 1010-nucleotide long non-coding RNA is filed under the name Homo sapiens (human). RNAcentral describes it as "non-protein coding lnc-RAB24-1:1". The record is from RNAcentral. Lineage: Eukaryota; Metazoa; Chordata; Mammalia; Primates; Hominidae.
CCGCGGCACCCACGUGCAGCGGCUGGGCCCGGCGCUUUCAGGGGACCACCAGGCCCCCAGAGCGCCGUGCUAUGUUGGGGGCUAGUCACUAGCACGGGGCUGGAAGCUGAGAUCAAAGACGCCAAUGAGCCGGCGUGGGUGGAUGAGUGAGGCGGGCAAGAAGCAGCACCGGUUAGCCUGAGGGUUCGCUCCAGGGCCAGGCCUGGAGCCAGCGCCCUUACCUGCCCCUGGAAAGUCUGAGACCACUCGGGGCGGGGCGGCUGCCGGAGGGUGGGCUGCGGCUCCGUGGCGGGUUCCAGAGGGGCGGAGCCAAGGGCUGGGCGUUCCCGCGGGCGGGGCGUCCCGGGGGCGGGGCGGGCCCCUGUGUUUGUUGCACCGUGUCAGUUACUUUGUAACAAAAGUGCUGCAGCCGCUUGCUCCGGCCGGCACCCUAGGCCGGCCCGCCGCCAGCUGUCGCCGACAUGGAACCCUUGGCCAGCAACAUCCAGGUCCUGCUGCAGGCGGCCGAGUUCCUGGAGCGCCGUGAGAGAGAGCUCUGGAGACACCAAAUAAGCUAGAGGAGACCCAGGCUUCCCGGCGGAUUUCAGUCCAGCCACUGUUGUCAGAGUUCACACAGUAAACACAUCGUUCCUCCACCACCUAUGCAGAGGCCAACCACAAUCGUGGAACAGUCUUUCAUUUUGCCAACUUGCACAUAAAUCUGACUCCCUGUCACUUUUCAUGAGGCGAAGCAAUACAAUGAAAAUCCAUUCCUUCCCCUGACUGCACCUCCAAGUGGCACUGACAGAACAAGAAGCCAUAAAUAAGGUCGUUUUGCUCUCGAAAACCUCUCUUCUGACUCUUAAACUAGAAGGCAAAAGGUCUCUCUCUUGAGAUCAACAAAGGGCCUUCCAGCCCAUCCUGCUCCUGGAUUUUGUUUUGUGCAUCUAGACGCAUGCAGUGUUUUAGCCGCCUUCCACCAGCUGCAGCUCUGGAGCUUCCUGACAGUCCAAAUAAAAACAUUUGCCCGG